This 718-nucleotide long non-coding RNA is filed under the name Nicotiana tabacum (common tobacco). RNAcentral's name for it is "long non-coding RNA (NTAB_LNC003777)". The record is from RNAcentral. Lineage: Eukaryota; Viridiplantae; Streptophyta; Magnoliopsida; Solanales; Solanaceae.
CGGGCUCCAAUCCCUAAGUUGAGCGAUUUUCUUUUAGCCGACAUUAGGGCUCCAAUCCCUGAGUUGAGCAAUUUUCUUUUAGCCGACAUUAGGGCUCCAAUCCCUGAGUUGAGCAGUUUUCUUUUUCAGACGUUAGGGCUCCAAUCCCUGAGUUGAGCGUUUUUCUUUUAGUCGACAUUAGGGCUCCAAUCCCUGAGUUGAGCGUUUUUCUUUUAGUCGACAUUAGGGCUCCAAUCCCUGAGUUGAGCAAUUUUCUUUUAGCCGACAUUAAGGCUCCAAUCCCUGAGUUGAGCUAUUUUCUUUUAGCCGACAUUAGGGCUCCAAUCCCUGAGUUGAGCGAUUUUCUUUUAGCCGAUAUUAGGGUUCCAAUCCCUGAGUUGAUCAGUUUUCUUUAGCCGACAUUAGGGCUCCAAUCCCUGAUUGAGCGUUUUUCUUUUAACCGACAUUAGGGCUCCAAUCCCUGAGUUGAGCAGUUUUCUUUCAGCCGACAUUAGGGCUCCAAUCCCUGAGUUGAGCGGAUUUUCCUAUAGCCGACAUUAGGGCUCCAAUCCCUGAGUUGAGCGAGUUUUCUUUAGCUAACAUUAGGGCUCCAAUCCCUGAGUUGAGCAAUUUGCUUUUAGCCGACAUUAGGGCUCCAAUCCCUGAGUUGAGCAGUUUUCUUUUAGCCGACAUUAGUGCUCCAAUCCCUGAGUUGAGCAGUUUUGUUUAGCCGACAUUA